CGGCGGCAGCUCACUCAACCCGCUGCCGGAGCGGAAACGCCACUGACCGUACGGGGAUUCCCAUCGCCGGCGCCAGGGGCACCCGGGACACGCCCCCUCUCGCCGCGCGAUUGGCCUCUCCGCCCACCACCCUGCACUCAUUGGUCAGCUCGCCACCAAUCAGCGGAAGCCGCCGGGGCCGCCUAGAGAAGAGGCUGUGCUCUGGGGCUGCGGCUCCUCAGAGAGCCUCGGCUAGGUGCCCUUCUCUAGAGAAAGAUGAGGACACGCUGAAGGUUGAAGCAUUAUAUGGGCAACAUGGGUAUGAGGAAGAAGGGGAAAAUGAAGACAAUAAAUGCCUACUAUAUGCCAGAAACUAAAAGCUUUGAAUAUACUGAUGAAAAAUAACCCACACACAAGCUGGGUGUGAUGGUACAUGCCUAUGAUCCCAGGACUCCAGAGGCUGAGGCAGGAGAAUCACUCCAAGUUUGAGGUCAGCCUGGGUUACAUAGUGAAGUUAAGACCAUCCUGUAUAUAGUGAGACCCUGACUCAAAAAACCAACAGAAAAAACCGCGAAACAAUCCAUGCCCACAUUUUCCUUAUGUGGUAAUCAGUUUUACCUUAGCUUUUGUUUUACUGGGAUGGCAGUUUGCUAACCUUCACUUCUCACCUGCAAUAAUUCCUAAUUACUUCUGAG
Heterocephalus glaber (naked mole-rat) is the source of this 674-nucleotide non-coding RNA. The record is from RefSeq and is a predicted model, not a curated record. Lineage: Eukaryota; Metazoa; Chordata; Mammalia; Rodentia; Bathyergidae.